Molecule: long non-coding RNA, 159 nt
Organism: Neodiprion virginianus
Lineage: Eukaryota; Metazoa; Arthropoda; Insecta; Hymenoptera; Diprionidae
Exons: 3
Source: RefSeq, a predicted model, not a curated record
GCCAGUGGAAUAUUGGUCAAAAGUUGUUUGCCCUGACGAUUUUCCUUCGAUUUUCGGCGGACAUUCAAAUCCGAGGAAACUAUGACCUCCUCGAAGGUCUGGCCUUCGUUUUCUGCAACGUCAGAAAGAAAGAAUAAAUUUCUGCACUCCAGUCGCAUU